UGUGGCACCUGCGGCUGCCUCCCAGUCCUCUCUGAGCGUUGAGACUCGUAGAGACGCACUCUACGGUUUUCAGAGUGCGCGACUCCACACCGACGAUAGCCUUAGAGGAGGAGAACUCGUUAGGGUCACACUGCGCCGCGACUCGGAAGCAGUGACCGCUGACUCUGGCUUGCGACCCCUGACCGGUGUCCCAAGUCAUCUGAAAGCAAGUAAUGAAGGGAGCAGAAUAAGAAGAAAGGAAUUCGAAAUUUGCCUUGAGGCCAACAGGAGCACUCUGCCUCUUACAGAGAUGGGCGUUCCCUGGACAUCAAGCCCCCAGGAAUGCAGCGGGGUGCUGACUUGUGAGAACACGUAGCAAGCUUCCGGGGGAGGCCUCUGGUUGCCAGCAGAACCUGGAAGAGACAUGGGACCCAAAGGUGUUUUCUACUGUGACAUUGGGACGUGACUGCUCUGACCACGUUAGUCUAAUUACGUCUCAUGCUGCAGGGAGUCGUUUGGAGUCCAAAUACGGAUGGUCCCAUAGGCCCUUCCCGAAAUUUCUUUGUGCUCCCCAUGCCGGCCUGUGUGUGCACGCCCAGAAGCCUGAGAGGAGAAUGGGAGGGAAGAGACUGUGGUGUGGCC
Molecule: long non-coding RNA, 621 nt
Organism: Tupaia belangeri chinensis (Chinese tree shrew)
Lineage: Eukaryota; Metazoa; Chordata; Mammalia; Scandentia; Tupaiidae
Exons: 4
Source: RefSeq, a predicted model, not a curated record